RNAcentral lists this ribosomal RNA (253 nucleotides) under uncultured bacterium. RNAcentral describes it as "partial 16S ribosomal RNA". It matches the Rfam family "Bacterial small subunit ribosomal RNA", at positions 524 to 776 of the family's 1533-position model. The record is from RNAcentral.
GACGGAGGGGGCUAGCGUUGUUCGGAAUGACUGGGCGUAAAGGGCGCGUAGGCGGUUUUUUAAGUGAGGCGUGAAAGCCCUGGGCUUAACCCAGGAGGUGCGCUUCAUACUGAAAAGCUUGAGUGCGAGAGAGGAAAGUGGAAUUCCUAGUGUAGAGGUGAAAUUCGUAGAUAUUAGGAAGAACACCAGUGGCGAAGGCGACUUUCUGGCUCGUAACUGACGCUGAGGCGCGAAAGCGUGGGGAGCAAACAGG